RNAcentral lists this ribosomal RNA (468 nucleotides) under uncultured bacterium. Its description in RNAcentral is "partial 16S ribosomal RNA". It matches the Rfam family "Bacterial small subunit ribosomal RNA", at positions 28 to 507 of the family's 1533-position model. The record is from RNAcentral.
GACGAACGCUGGCGGCGUGCCUAACACAUGCAAGUCGAACGGAAAGGCCCUGCUUUUGCGGGGUGUUCGAGUGGCGAACGGGUGUGUAUCACGUGAGUAACCUGUCCUUGACUUUGGGAUAACUCCAGGAAACAGGGGCUAUUACCGGAUAGGAGCUCUUGCUGCAUGGUGGGGGUUGGAAAGUUUCGGCGGUUGGGGAUGGACGCGCGGCUUAUCAGCUUGUUGGUGGGGUAGUGGCGUACCAAGGCUUUGACGGGUAGCCGGCCUGAGAGGGGGACCGGGCACAAUGGGCCUGAGGUAGGGCCCAGAGUGCUACGGGAGGCAGCAGUGGAAAAUAUUGCGCAAUGGGCCGAAGCCUGAUGCAGCGACGUCGGGUGCGGGAUGACGGCCUUUGGGGUAUAAACCGCUUUCGCCUGUGACGAAGCGUGAGUGACGGUAACGAGUCAAGAAGCACCGGCUAACUACGUG